This 406-nucleotide long non-coding RNA is filed under the name Salvia miltiorrhiza (redroot sage). RNAcentral's name for it is "long non-coding RNA (SMIL_LNC002428)". Lineage: Eukaryota; Viridiplantae; Streptophyta; Magnoliopsida; Lamiales; Lamiaceae. The record is from RNAcentral.
UGAAUAAAAAAUACUGCAAAAAUAUAUUAUUUCAUUAAUUUAAUUUCAUUACAUUUGCACUAUUACAAUUCUAACUUCCAAUAUCAGAGGUGAUGACCUCUCUCCUUUGGUUUUUUCGACUUUUAUUCAUUCACACACCCAUAUUUAACCCCUACAUGAUAUACAGAAAAAAAAAGAAAAAAAAAGAAUGAAUGAAGAAAAAUUACAUCUUAGUUGAUUCUUGAAAACCAAACUAAAAAAAAAUUUAAAAAUGAGUUAUCUUCUUUGGUUUGUUAAUUAGGUUGAAAUUGAAUAAUGUGAAGCUUCACUUAGUUUGAGCGGCGACGCCAAACCGAACCAUUUGCUUAGGGUAAGCAUCGGCGGAUUGACCGGCGAAGUUCCGGUUGCCGACUGAGGCGGUGCAUGG